Molecule: ribosomal RNA, 200 nt
Filed under: uncultured bacterium
Lineage: Bacteria
Description: partial 16S ribosomal RNA
Rfam family: Bacterial small subunit ribosomal RNA
Source: RNAcentral
AACGAACGCUGGCGGCAUGCCUAACACAUGCAAGUCGAACGAGACCUUCGGGUCUAGUGGCGCACGGGUGCGUAACGCGUGGGAACCUGCCUUGAGGUUCGGAAUAACUUCCCGAAAGGGAUGCUAAUACCGGAUGAUGUCUUCGGACCAAAGAUUUAUCGCCUUUAGAUGGGCCCGCGUUGGAUUAGCUAGUUGGUGGG